GACGAACGCUGGCGGCGUGCUUAACACAUGCAAGUCGAACGGACAGGCCCUGCUUUUGUGGGUUGCUCGAUUGGCGAACGGGUGAGUAACACGUGAGUAACCUGCCCUUGACUUUGUGAUAACUUCAGGAAACUGGGGCUAUUACCGGAUAGGAUCUCCUGCUGCAUGGUGUGGGUUGGAAAGUUUCGGCGGUUGGGGAUGGACUCGCGGCUUAUCAGCUUGUUUGUGUGGUAGUGGCUUACCAAGGCUUUGACGGGUAGCCGGCCUGAGAGGGUGACCGGCCACAUUGGGACUGAGAUACGGCCCAGACUCAUAAGGGAGGCAGCAGUGGGGAAUAUUGCACAAUGGGCGGAAGCCUGAGGCAGCAACGCCGCGUGCGGGAUGACGGCCUUCGGGUUGUAAACCGAUUUCGCCUGUGACGAAGCGUGAGUGACGGUAAUGGGUAAAGAAGCAACGGCUAACUACGUG
RNAcentral lists this ribosomal RNA (468 nucleotides) under uncultured bacterium. RNAcentral's name for it is "partial 16S ribosomal RNA". It matches the Rfam family "Bacterial small subunit ribosomal RNA", at positions 28 to 507 of the family's 1533-position model. The record is from RNAcentral.